This 177-nucleotide ribosomal RNA is filed under the name uncultured Alphaproteobacteria bacterium. RNAcentral's name for it is "partial 16S ribosomal RNA". It matches the Rfam family "Bacterial small subunit ribosomal RNA", at positions 333 to 524 of the family's 1533-position model. Lineage: Bacteria; Pseudomonadati; Pseudomonadota; Alphaproteobacteria. The record is from RNAcentral.
GGUGGCCUACGGGAGGCAGCAGUGAGGGAAUAUUGGACAAUGGGCGCAAGCCUGAUGCAGCCAUGCGCGCUGUGAGUGAAGAAGGCCUCCGGGUUGUAAAGCUCUUUUGGCGGGGACGAUGAUGGCGGUACCCGCAGAAUARGCCCCGGSUAACUUCGUGCCAGCAGCCGCGGNAAU